RNAcentral lists this ribosomal RNA (664 nucleotides) under Clostridium perfringens. Its description in RNAcentral is "bacterial LSU rRNA". It matches the Rfam family "Bacterial large subunit ribosomal RNA", at positions 1493 to 2170 of the family's 2925-position model. Lineage: Bacteria; Bacillati; Bacillota; Clostridia; Eubacteriales; Clostridiaceae. The record is from RNAcentral.
AGCUAUUGGAUGCUAGUCUAAGCGUUUAGGCAGUGAGAGUAGGCAAAUCCGCUCUCAUAAUGCUGAGGCGUGAUGGGGAAGGUUCCACGGAACCGAAGUACAUGAUUCCACGCUGCCAAGAAAAGCGUCUAGAGAGAGAAGUAGUGCCCGUACCGCAAACCGACACAGGUAGGUGAGGAGAGAAUCCUAAGGCCGGCGGAAGAAUUACAGUUAAGGAACUCGGCAAAUUUACCCCGUAAGUUCGCGAGAAGGGGUGCCUACGAGAGUAGGCCGCAGAGAAUAGGCCCAAGCAACUGUUUAGCAAAAACACAGGUCUCUGCUAAAGCGUAAGCUGAUGUAUAGGGGCUGACGCCUGCCCGGUGCUGGAAGGUUAAGGGGAACACUUAGCGAAAGCGAAGGUGUGAACUUAAGCCCCAGUAAACGGCGGCCGUAACUAUAACGGUCCUAAGGUAGCGAAAUUCCUUGUCAGGUAAGUUCUGACCCGCACGAAUGGCGUAAUGACUUGGGCACUGUCUCAACUGUAAAUCCGGCGAAGUUGUAGUGCGAGUGAAGAUGCUCGCUACCCGCGAUUGGACGGAAAGACCCCGUAGAGCUUUACUGUAGCUUAGCAUUGAGUUUUGGUAUUGUCUGUACAGGAUAGGUGGGAGACUAGGAAACCAGGGCG